AGACCCGAAACCCGGUGAUCUAGCCAUGGGCAGGUUGAAGGUUGGGUAACACUAACUGGAGGACCGAACCGACUAAUGUUGAAAAAUUAGCGGAUGACCUGUGGCUGGGGGUGAAAGGCCAAUCAAACCGGGAGAUAGCUGGUUCUCCCCGAAAGCUAUUUAGGUAGCGCCUCGUGAAUUCAUCUCCGGGGGUAGAGCACUGUUUCGGCUAGGGGGCCAUCCCGGCUUACCAACCCGAUGCAAACUGCGAAUACCGGAGAAUGUUAUCACGGGAGACACACGGCGGGUGCUAACGUCCGUCGUGAAGAGGGAAACAACCCAGACCGCCAGCUAAGGUCCCAAAGUCAUGGUUAAGUGGGAAACGAUGUGGGAAGGCCCAGACAGCCAGGAUGUUGGCUUAGAAGCAGCCAUCAUUUAAAGAAAGCGUAAUAGCUCACUGGUCGAGUCGGCCUGCGCGGAAGAUGUAACGGGGCUAAACCAUGCACCGAAGCUGCGGCAGCGAACGUAUCACCCAAGACAACUUUACGGAGUUGACGAUUGACGGAGCGAAGCGACGUCAAAGCGUUCAUUAAAGUCGAGUUGGCUUAGGGAUACGUUCGUUGGGUAGGGGAGCGUUCUGUAAGCCUGUGAAGGUGUGUCGUGAGGCAUGCUGGAGGUAUCAGAAGUGCGAAUGCUGACAUAAGUAACGAUAAAGCGGGUGAAAAGCCCGCUCGCCGGAAGACCAAGGGUUCCUGUCCAACGUUAAUCGGGGCAGGGUGAGUCGACCCCUAAGGCGAGGCCGAAAGGCGUAGUCGAU
RNAcentral lists this ribosomal RNA (796 nucleotides) under Salmonella enterica. RNAcentral describes it as "partial 23S ribosomal RNA". It matches the Rfam family "Bacterial large subunit ribosomal RNA", at positions 711 to 1419 of the family's 2925-position model. The record is from RNAcentral. Lineage: Bacteria; Pseudomonadati; Pseudomonadota; Gammaproteobacteria; Enterobacterales; Enterobacteriaceae.